Molecule: ribosomal RNA, 500 nt
Filed under: uncultured bacterium
Lineage: Bacteria
Description: partial 16S ribosomal RNA
Rfam family: Bacterial small subunit ribosomal RNA
Source: RNAcentral
AUUGAACGCUGGCGGCAUGCCUUACACAUGCAAGUCGAACGGCAGCACGGGAGCAAUCCUGGUGGCGAGUGGCGAACGGGUGAGUAAAGUAUCGGAACGUGCCCAGUCGUGGGGGAUAACGUAGCGAAAGUUACGCUAAUACCGCAUACGAUCUAUGGAUGAAAGCGGGGGAUCGCAAGACCUCGCGCGAUUGGAGCGGCCGAUAUCAGAUUAGGUAGUUGGUGGGGUAAAGGCUCACCAAGCCGACGAUCUGUAGCUGGUCUGAGAGGACGACCAGCCACCCUGGGACUGAGACACGGCCCGGACUCCUACGGGAGGCAGCAGUGGGGAAUUUUGGACAAUGGGCGAAAGCCUGAUCCAGCCAUGCCGCGUGCAGGAUGAAGGCCUUCGGGUUGUAAACGGCUUUUGUACGGAACGAAAAGGUUUGGCCUAAUAAGCUGAGCUCAUGACGGUACCGUAAGAAUAAGCACCGGCUAACUACGUGCCAGCCGCCGCCGUAA